RNAcentral lists this ribosomal RNA (493 nucleotides) under uncultured bacterium. RNAcentral describes it as "bacterial SSU rRNA". It matches the Rfam family "Bacterial small subunit ribosomal RNA", at positions 28 to 508 of the family's 1533-position model. The record is from RNAcentral.
GACGAACGCUGGCGGCGUGCUUAACACAUGCAAGUCGAACGAGAAAGGCUCUUCGGAGCUGAGUACAGUGGCGAACGGGUGGGUAACACGUGGGCAACCUGCCCCAUGGAGCGGGACAACCCGGGGAAACUCGGGCUAAUACCGCAUGGUUCGUACAGUCUCAAGUCUGUACGGGAAAUGGUAGCUUCGGCCUCCGCCAUGGGAUGGGCCCGCGGCGCAUUAGCUUGUUGGUGGGGUAACGGCUCACUAAGGCGACGAUGCGUAGCUGGUCUGAGAGGACGAUCAGCCACACUGGGACUGAGACACGGCCCAGACUCCUACGGGAGGCAGCAGUGGGGAAUCUUGCGCAAUGGGCGGAAGCCUGACGCAGCAACGCCGCGUGUGGGAAGACGGCCUUCGGGUUGUAAACCACUUUCAGGGGGGACGAAGCUUCCGAGGUUAAUAGCCUACGGGGUGACGGUACCCCCAGAAGAAGCCCCGGCUAACUACGUGC